GACGAACGCUGGCGGCGUGCCUAAUACAUGCAAGUAGAACGCUGAAGGAGGAGCUUGCUUCUCCGGAUGAGUUGCGAACGGGUGAGUAACGCGUAGGUAACCUGCCUGGUAGCGGGGGAUAACUAUUGGAAACGAUAGCUAAUACCGCAUAACAGUAGAUAUUGCAUGAUAUCUGCUUGAAAGGUGCAAUUGCAUCACUACCAGAUGGACCUGCGUUGUAUUAGCUAGUUGGUGAGGUAACGGCUCACCGAGGCGACGAUACAUAGCCGACCUGAGAGGGUGAUCGGCCACACUGGGACUGAGACACGGCCCAGACUCCUACGGGAGGCAGCAGUAGGGAAUCUUCGGCAAUGGACGGAAGUCUGACCGAGCAACGCCGCGUGAGUGAAGAAGGUUUUCGGAUCGUAAAGCUCUGUUGUAAGAGAAGAACGAGUGUGAGAGUGGAAAGUUCACACUGUGACGGUAUCUUACCAGAAAGGGACGGCUAACUACGUG
Molecule: ribosomal RNA, 495 nt
Filed under: uncultured bacterium
Lineage: Bacteria
Description: partial 16S ribosomal RNA
Rfam family: Bacterial small subunit ribosomal RNA
Source: RNAcentral